CCAGUGAUUAGAUUUUAAAACAAUAAUUAUUUUCCUUACAUGGAUACGGAAGACAGUGCCUCUCAAGGAGAAAAAGGUCUGGAAAUGUGUGCAUAGUUCAGUGACAUAAAAUACACAAAUUUAAGUCACGUGACUUGGAUGCUUUGCAUCUUUCUGUAACAGCUUUUUGCCAGUAAACUGACUCUUUCUUUGAUGUGGCUAUUUAAUCAAGCCUGUUUUUCCCAAAUAAAGAUGUAUUUGCUACUUUGCUUUAUGGGAAAUUACCCCUAUAAUCAGCACACUUAAAAGUUUUAAGACAAAGGGGAAAUUAAUGGGUAUUUAUUCCCCAGUUUUCAGUAUGUCCUUUUAUGUUCUGGGAGAACUGUUCUCCUUGACUUUCCUAAUUUUAAGUGUCAUUCUAGCAAAUCGUUGAUUCCUACAUAGUCACUGAAUUAUCACCAACACAUCAGGUAUGUUCAGUUAGCAGAUGAUGAUA
Molecule: long non-coding RNA, 475 nt
Filed under: Bos taurus (domestic cattle)
Lineage: Eukaryota; Metazoa; Chordata; Mammalia; Artiodactyla; Bovidae
Description: long non-coding RNA NONBTAT015244
Source: RNAcentral